This 280-nucleotide ribosomal RNA is filed under the name uncultured Lachnospiraceae bacterium. RNAcentral describes it as "partial 16S ribosomal RNA". The stretch from base 42 to 280 matches the Rfam family "Bacterial small subunit ribosomal RNA", at positions 100 to 339 of the family's 1533-position model. Lineage: Bacteria; Bacillati; Bacillota; Clostridia; Lachnospirales; Lachnospiraceae. The record is from RNAcentral.
UUUGAUUUCCUUCGGGACUGAUUAUUUUGUGACUGAGUGGCGGACGGGUGAGUAACGCGUGGGUAACCUGCCUUGUACAGGGGGAUAGCAGCUGGAAACGGCUGGUAAUACCGCAUAAGCGCACAGUACCACAUGGUACAGUGUGAAAAACUCCGGUGGUACAAGAUGGACCCGCGUCUGAUUAGCUGGUUGGUGGGGUAACGGCCUACCAAGUCUACGAUCAGUAGCCGGACUGAGAGGUUGAACGGCCACAUUGGGACUGAGAUACGGCCCAGACUCC